This is a non-coding RNA of Callorhinus ursinus (northern fur seal), 339 nucleotides long. Lineage: Eukaryota; Metazoa; Chordata; Mammalia; Carnivora; Otariidae. The record is from RefSeq and is a predicted model, not a curated record.
ACUGAUGGCUCUGGCCAAGAGCCAACACCAACUUGGCAGCCAUGGGACUGUGCCGCCUGAAAAACGGAUCCUCCUUCAGCCCCAGUCAAACCUUCAGAUGAUGCAGCCCUGGCUCUCAUCGUGACUGAGACCGUGUGACAGAUUCUCAGCCAGGACCACCCAGCUAGGCUGCUACCAAGUUCUUAACGCCGAAAAACUGUACAUAAUUCCAGGCACAGGAGAUCCAUCAAUAACCAAACAGAUGAAACGUCCUGCCCUCAUUGACAUUUCCUGUCUUGCCUUUGAGUGAGGGAGAAUGGCAGAACAAUGAAUAACCAAAUAAAACAAGUAACCAUAUAA